RNAcentral lists this unclassified non-coding RNA (295 nucleotides) under Hevea brasiliensis (rubber tree). Lineage: Eukaryota; Viridiplantae; Streptophyta; Magnoliopsida; Malpighiales; Euphorbiaceae. The record is from RNAcentral.
AAGAAAUUCAAGAAAUUAAUUAGACUUUUUUCAUAUGCUAUGAUUUAGUCUACAUUUGAUACACACCAGGGAAAAAAAAUAAUUUUAAGAUCAACCCAUAAGUCCUCCUUGAGAGGAAGGAGAGACAACACAUAUUCAUUACAAUUUCUUCACCAAACAUUGUCAACAAACCUCAGGAGAAAGAAAAAAGUUAAAAUUUAAAAGAAAUAUAAAAGAACUAUACUGCCCAGGCCCAGCAAUCCCAUGUACAUAACCCACCAAGUCCUUGCUAUUAUAAAGAAAAAAAAAAAAAAAA